Molecule: long non-coding RNA, 846 nt
Organism: Xiphias gladius (swordfish)
Lineage: Eukaryota; Metazoa; Chordata; Actinopteri; Istiophoriformes; Xiphiidae
Exons: 4
Source: RefSeq, a predicted model, not a curated record
AUCUCAUUUAUGCUAAGCGGCUAGCGUUAGCCCGGCUCGGGGGGUCCUGUGUGCAGCCGCAGAGCACGUUUCCUCCUCUGUUUUGUAAACGCCACACGCCUUAACAACUAAAAGUCCAGACUGUCAUGUUGACUUUGUGUCAUGGAAUGUAUGGCUUCUCUAUCUCGGACACUGCGCUUAACCUAGCACCGGCUAGCAAGUAGCCACGUGUAUACCAGACCAGGCCGGUGGCUGGACAACUGUUUACUAAGUCAGCUACGCUAGCCACUUUUGCCCAACAGCAGGCCCUGUGCAGGCAGGUUGUCCUUUCGUUAGCCGCUGCUAAUUUACUAGCUAGACUUGUUGAGAGUUGACGUUAGCACGAGUGGUUAGCCGCGGGACAACAAUAAACAAGCCUGCGGCACUCCACAGAGACACUGCAACAGCGGGACGCUUUGAGAUAAUAACAGCCUUGUCAGCAACAGAGCAGAAAGUUACACUCCUCAAAUCGGAGCACCUGGGGGGCAAACCUGCAGGGCUUGGAAAACUCUAGUGUCUCUGAGGUACCACAUGAUAAAACUCAGUAAUUAACCCUGCUGAGUGGUUGGCCUGGAAACCGCUGGCUCCAAAUGACCCUGUCCAACCCCAUCUCUCAAACCUUUGGAGGACCCAGAGAUGAUGGCGUGUCGAACCCCUCCUACAUCCAGCAGCCAUCUGGCUCCCUGGUCACACUUAUUACAGCCGGGGUCUGGAGAGGGAGCCUGAAUCUUUAGGCUGUGUGACAAGACCAGAUAUUGUCAAGUCCGACCCCGACGGGAAACCGUCAGAGGGGGAACGUCUCUGAUUAAUCUUUAGCAAGUGACGGCA